AACGAACGCUGGCGGCAUGCCUAACACAUGCAAGUCGAACGAGCCCUUCGGGGUUAGUGGCGCACGGGUGCGUAACGCGUGGGAAUCUGCCCUUGGGUUCGGAAUAACAGUGAGAAAUUACUGCUAAUACCGGAUGAUGUCUUCGGACCAAAGAUUUAUCGCCCAAGGAUGAGCCCGCGUAGGAUUAGCUAGUUGGUGGGGUAAUGGCCUACCAAGGCGACGAUCCUUAGCUGGUCUGAGAGGAUGAUCAGCCACACUGGGACUGAGACACGGCCCAGAAUCCUACGGGAGGCAGCAGUGGGGAAUAUUGGACAAUGGGCGAAAGCCUGAUCCAGCAAGGCCGGGUGAGUGAUGAAGGCCUUAGGGUUGUAAAGCUCUUUUACCCGGGAUGAUAAUGACAGUACCGGGAGAAUAAGCUCCGGCUAACUCCGUG
RNAcentral lists this ribosomal RNA (433 nucleotides) under uncultured bacterium. RNAcentral describes it as "partial 16S ribosomal RNA". It matches the Rfam family "Bacterial small subunit ribosomal RNA", at positions 29 to 507 of the family's 1533-position model. The record is from RNAcentral.